This 1021-nucleotide long non-coding RNA is filed under the name Homo sapiens (human). RNAcentral describes it as "HSALNT0341264". The record is from RNAcentral. Lineage: Eukaryota; Metazoa; Chordata; Mammalia; Primates; Hominidae.
CUCACCUAAAAGGCAACCAAAGUAAGUUCAGUCAAUAAGAACCAACAAUACUGUGUGUGGCUUUGCUUAUCACCGAUGACUCAUUUCCUCCAGUAUUAACUAUGGGAAUUCAAAGCUUCUCUGUUAGCCCAAUUUUCUACUCUAAACCAUGACCCCUGUCCACAAUAUUUGAGGAGUGUCUGACUUCUACUUAGAAGACCUGAACACCCCUCUCUCCUUCUGGAUACAUUUCUGUUUACCCAUACUAAAGUACAGCACUGCAACUCUAAUCUGGCUAAAAUGGACUGAUCAUUUCCCUCAUUCCAGAAAUCUUUUUUAUUAAAUAAUAAUGUUGACAGCAAUAGGUCUUGCACAUACUGCAUGGAUGUACCUGUUAUCUGUCUCCUACUUUGUACUUAAUUUGUGUUGUUUUGUUACAGGGGCCUAAGAUCAGGGCUGUCACCAUUUCAUUAGAUUUCUAGAUCCCCUCUUCUGGCAUUAUUUGCUAUCUUUAGCUGUUUUUCACCCAUGAAUAUAAUCACCCAAUCUAUUUUCUUAUCAUAGUACUUGAUUAAAAACUGAGUAAGGCAAAUGCAAUAUGAAAAUCCUUCAACAUUAAUCUGAACCACCUACCACCACUCAACAUCUCCAACAAAACUAUACCAAAAUUACUCAGUCUACUCUACUCCCUUAAUUAUUAUACUUAGUCAUUCCAUUUUUUAUUAAUAUCCUAUUUUAUCCCAUUUUAGAACCCAGACUUCCCUAAUAGUACUGGUGUCAAAUUGCAAAGCAAAAGAUUUUUUUUUUUGGUCCCCAUUUUGAAUCUUUCCUGGCUUCAACUCACAUGUACUACAUCUAGUUUUUCCUCUACAAACAGUUGCAUUCUCUUACCUGUGUUCAGGUCCACACCCACGAGCUGACCUGAUUCUGAAUGUUCUGCUUAAAUUUUAACUAAUGUUUCCUGAAGGUCAAAACCAGAAUUCUGAGCAAGAACCUAAAGUAAACAAAUUUAAUUCCUGAGAAAACAGGAAGAAUUGAUAUU